AUAAUGUUUGGGCUUAUUUCUGGAGCUUUGUUCUUUCUCCUUACUGGGAUUUUCUUCUUUUUAUAUGGCUGGGAUUUCUUGCAUGAAGCACUGCUCUAUCAUCUCACACGUACAGACCCUAGGCACAAUUUCUCAAUUUAUUUCUACCAUAUAUAUCUGCACUAUGAACACGAGUUAUCUAUCUUGGAAAAGCUCGUCUCGUUUCUGCCUCAGAUUAUGGUGCAGCUAGUUCUUGUUUUCCGCUUUGCACAAGAUUUUCCUUUUUGCUUCUUUGUGCAGACUGUGGCAUUUGUUGCAUUUAACAAGGUUAUGACUGCUCAAUACUUUGUUUGGUUCUUCUGUCUCUUGCCACUAAUCCUGCCAUGGACUAACAUGAAG
RNAcentral lists this unclassified non-coding RNA (378 nucleotides) under Hevea brasiliensis (rubber tree). The record is from RNAcentral. Lineage: Eukaryota; Viridiplantae; Streptophyta; Magnoliopsida; Malpighiales; Euphorbiaceae.